UACGAAGGGUGCAAGCGUUACUCGGAAUUACUGGGCGUAAAGCGUGCGUAGGCGGUUUGUUAAGUCCGCUGUGAAAGCCCUGGGCUCAACCUGGGAAUUGCAGUGGAUACUGGCAAGCUAGAGUGCGGUAGAGGAUGGUGGAAUUCCCGGUGUAGCGGCGAAAUGCGUAGAGAUCGGGAGGAACACCUGUGGCGAAGGCGGCCCCCUGGUUGGAUACUGACGCUGAUACGCGAAAGCGUGGGGAGCAAACAGG
This 253-nucleotide ribosomal RNA is filed under the name uncultured bacterium. RNAcentral describes it as "partial 16S ribosomal RNA". It matches the Rfam family "Bacterial small subunit ribosomal RNA", at positions 524 to 776 of the family's 1533-position model. The record is from RNAcentral.